Molecule: ribosomal RNA, 672 nt
Filed under: Inocybe dulcamara
Lineage: Eukaryota; Fungi; Basidiomycota; Agaricomycetes; Agaricales; Inocybaceae
Description: eukaryotic LSU rRNA
Rfam family: Eukaryotic large subunit ribosomal RNA
Source: RNAcentral
UUGAUCUCAAAUCAGACAGGACUACCCGCUGAACUUAAGCAUAUCAAUAAGCGGAGGAAAAGAAACUAACAAGGAUUCCCCUAGUAACUGCGAGUGAAGCGGGAAAAGCUCAAAUUUAAAAUCUGGCGGUCCUUUGGCUGUCCGAGUUGUAAUCUAGAGAAGUGUUACCCGCGCUGGACCAUGGACAAGUCUCCUGGAAUGGAGCAUCACAGAGGGUGAGAAUCCCGUCUUUGACAUGGACUGCCAGGGCUUUGUGGUGCGCUCUCAAAGAGUCGAGUUGUUUGGGAAUGCAGCUCAAAAUGGGUGGUAAAUGCCAUCUAAAGCUAAAUAUUGGCGAGAGACCGAUAGCGAACAAGUACCGUGAGGGAAAGAUGAAAAGAACUUUGGAAAGAGAGUUAAACAGUACGUGAAAUUGCUGAAAGGGAAACGCUUGAAGUCAGUCACAUCAACUGGAAAUCAACCUUGCUUUUGCUUGGUGUACUUUCUGGGUGGAUGGGUCAGCAUCAAUUUUGAUUGUUGGAUAAAGGCUUUGGGAAUGUGGCAUCUUAGGAUGUGUUAUAGCCCAUGGUUGCAUACAGCAGUUGGGAUUGAGGAGCUCAGCAUGCCGCAAGGCCGGGUUUUGACCACGCAACAUGCUUAGGAUGCUGGCAUAAUGGCUUUAAUCGACCCGUC